AUUAGAUUAAAAACCAAUGCCCUUCGGGGCUCUCUGGUGAUUCAUGAUAACUUCUCGAAUCGCAUGGCCUUGCGCCGGCGAUGGUUCAUUCAAAUUUCUUCCCUAUCAACUUUCGAUGUUUGGGUAUUGGCCAAACAUGGUUGCAACGGGUAACGGAGGGUUAGGGCUCGACCCCGGAGAAGGAGCCUGAGAAACGGCUACUACAUCCAAGGAAGGCAGCAGGCGCGCAAAUUACCCAAUCCCGACUCGGGGAGGUAGUGACAAUAAAUACUGAUACAGGGUUCUUUCGGAUCUUGUAAUUGGAAUGAGUACAAUUUAAAUCCCUUAACGAGGAACAAUUGGAGGGCAAGUCUGGUGCCAGCAGCCGCGGUAAUUCCAGCUCCAAUAGCGUAUAUUAAAGUUGUUGUGGUUAAAAAGCUCGUAGUUGAACCUUGGGCCUGGCUGGCCGGUCCGCCUCACCGCGUGUACUGGUCCGGCCGGGCCCUUUCCCUCUGUGGAACCCUAUGCCCUUCACUGGG
RNAcentral lists this ribosomal RNA (518 nucleotides) under uncultured fungus. RNAcentral describes it as "SSU rRNA". It matches the Rfam family "Eukaryotic small subunit ribosomal RNA", at positions 209 to 727 of the family's 1831-position model. The record is from RNAcentral. Lineage: Eukaryota; Fungi.